GACGAACGCUGGCGGCGUGCUUAACACAUGCAAGUCGAACGGUAAGGCCCUGCUGUUGUGGGGUGCUCGAGUGGCGAACGGGUGAGUAACAAGUGAGUAACCUGCCCUUGACUUUGGGAUAACUUCAGGAAACUGGGGCUAAUAACGGAUAGGAGCUCCUGCUGCAUGGUGGGGGUUGGAAAGUUUCGGCGGUUGGGGAUGGACUCGCGGGUUAUCAGCUUGUUGGUGGGGUAGUGGCUUACCAAGGCUUUGACGGGUAGCCGGCCUGAGAGGGUGACCGGCGACAUUGGGACUGAGGUACGGCCGAGGCUCCUACUAGAGGCAGCAGUGGGGAAUAUUGCACAAUGGGCGGAGGCCUUAUGAAGCAGCGCCGCGUGCGGGAUGACGGCCUUCGGGUUGAGAACCGCUUUCGCCUGUGACGAAGCGUGAGUGACGGUAAUGGGUAGAGAAGCACCGGCUAACUACGUG
Molecule: ribosomal RNA, 468 nt
Filed under: uncultured bacterium
Lineage: Bacteria
Description: partial 16S ribosomal RNA
Rfam family: Bacterial small subunit ribosomal RNA
Source: RNAcentral